AGGGUCUCUUCCGAACUCCUCUGUAUUUGGGCUCAGUCGCCGGAGAUGGUGCUGGUGCUUCCGUGGGCCGACCUCUUGCCAUGAUUACAAGGUAGGAAAAAGUGAGAUCGGGGAUGGAUUUGUGGAAAUGGAGUGGCGAUGGGGGAGGGAGGAAAUUGGUGAGAGUUGAAAGGAGAAAUAAAUAAUGGAGAAUGGAGAAACACGGUUUUGGGUGAUGGAGACUGCGAUGGGCGGCAGCAACACAAACAGGAAGAGGAAGAAGAAGAAGAAGAAGAAGAAGAAGA
This 284-nucleotide long non-coding RNA is filed under the name Linum usitatissimum (flax). Its description in RNAcentral is "long non-coding RNA (LUSI_LNC000815)". Lineage: Eukaryota; Viridiplantae; Streptophyta; Magnoliopsida; Malpighiales; Linaceae. The record is from RNAcentral.